CUACAUCGGCGGGUCCCACGUCUAGAGAACCUGGCGAGCCCUGACACCCGGCGGGUCCCAGCACUGGCUUCCUGGACGAUGACAACCCGGCCCCACGGCCUUGUAACAUUACCAUUGUAUCCCUGGGGGGUUGGUCUAUAAAACCCCCAGGAGCCCUCAUGCAUACGGACAAGCAACACACACACGCGAGCACAGAGAGACUGAUUAGUAGAACACACCCACACCCAAGGAGAGGGAGCAGCUUAAGCCUUGGCCCGCUUUCCUUCUUCUUCCAUACAGCUCUAGGAGCAACUCUGUACUGUUACAUAUAAACCACACUCGGCAGGACUAGGGGUGUUAUCUCUCCGGAGAGCCCCAAACCUGGGUAUGUCUUGCGUCCCGCGCUAGCUCAUGCCGACCUCGCCUCUGGAGCCCACCAGUGCCCUCAAGCCUCCUCCUCUCUUUAGCCAUCCCUUGGCAUCUGCCGUGCACCCACCACGACAGUUGUCCAUGUCCGCAUCGCACACUGACUCGUUGUUGCCUCCAGAAUUGGCCAUGACCUACAAACACAAGGCAUAUACGAUCAAGAUAAUAUGUAUAGAACUAAUUAAACUGGAUAUCAUGUAUAGAACUAAUGGAUUGUGACUACAUUAAUUGCCACACUAUUUUAUCACACCUAACUCGGAGCAUUACUUUCGAGUGGAAAUUUUCUUUGAACACUCAACUAUUUUUCCACACCUAACUUGGAGCAUUACUUACCAGUGGAAAUUUCUUUGGACACUCAACUAUUUUGCCACACCUAACUUGGAGCAUUACUUACGAGUGGAAAUUUUCUUUGGUGAGUACAGAGCAGAUUUUCCCCAAAGAUAUUUAUGGAUUACAAACAACAACUCAAACACUUUGUUUCAGAAUUUAGAUGCUUCCAAAGAUGAUGACUUAAAAAAUAUAUAUACCUUAAUUUGAUUGACAGAUUGCACUUCCAGUUUCUAUAGCUAGUGCUAACUGAGGAUGCAAAAAUAUAUCUACCUUAAUUCUAGACAACUACAGCACAUUGUCACCGCCUAGCAGUGAUGAACCCCAGCGAUGCAAAUAUUUUUUUUACAAUGGCAGUGACCUACAACAAAAGAGGGAGGGAUGAUAUGCUCACCUGGGUUGGAGCCAAGGGUUGCCUACAGUCUACUCCGUCGCUGUCGCCGAAACCCUAGCAGAUGAGAGAGGGAGGCUUAGAUGCGAAACACACGUCUAAUUAAAAAACCCAAAUGGACCAGAUGAGAGAGUGGGAGGCUCAGAUGUGUACCUCAGGACUGGAUAACGACGGCAAUCUCUGGGAUCGGCCGGAAUCGAAGCGGCGGCGACGAGCGGCGAGAGAGGGAGAGAAAGGGGAACGGAAAAGAGAGAGGGAGUGGCAGGGCAGAGAGAGGGAGUGGAUCAAGGGGGUCGUUGC
RNAcentral lists this long non-coding RNA (1423 nucleotides) under Triticum aestivum (bread wheat). RNAcentral's name for it is "long non-coding RNA (TAES_LNC008746)". The record is from RNAcentral. Lineage: Eukaryota; Viridiplantae; Streptophyta; Magnoliopsida; Poales; Poaceae.